Molecule: non-coding RNA, 4315 nt
Organism: Physcomitrium patens
Lineage: Eukaryota; Viridiplantae; Streptophyta; Bryopsida; Funariales; Funariaceae
Source: RefSeq, a predicted model, not a curated record
AAUCCAGUCGUUGCGAGGGAGGGGGGCCAGGACCUCAGCUCCCAUGGCCCCCGUUCCCCACCCCACUCCACCCCCUUCCAACGUCUCUCUCGUCGUCCUCCUCUUCCACCUCACCCUUCAAUCUGCGCCAUCCUCCCCCACCUAACUUUCACCUCACCUCUACGUUCAGUGCGAUCCCCCUUGCUUCGUUGUUGUCCAUUGAGUCCCAAUCACUUCUUCGUCGUUGUCGUGGCUCGUGGUCGGGAUCGGAGGCGCGUCUUUUGGUGGAGAUUUGCGUCAGUGGCGCUCGAUCCCGUGAGGGCUGGCAGUAGUAGUUCCAUAAUGUCCGCAAGAUUUUCUUGCACGCUGAAACCCGAGGAUCGAUGUAGUUAAGAAAAUGGCUGGACGUGAUGUUGGAGCAGCGAUUUGUAUGCCACGCUCUGACCCGUCGAUUGUGCCCCAUCCACAGCAGAUCCUGCAUUUUUCCCAUUACAACAGUAAGCAAGAUUUUUCUUCUCCUAGUAUGAUACCUCAGUAUGGUUCUCCCCGCUACAGACAGUCGACGGAGCAGGCAUCGCUGCAGGACCUCUUCUCUUCGCCCUUGGCUGGCUCCAUGACCAUGCAACCCCUGCAUCCAGGGAUUGAGCUCGACCGCGUUGGCUCGCCUCUACAACGUGGACAGUCGCUGCAAACCUGCUCUUCCCCUUCAGAUCCAGUGAAUUUACAACACUCUCCACACGUAGGCGACAUUGAGAAGGCGAAUUCCCCAUUCUCUCGACGUACCAAUGUAGCCCUAAUGCAGGACGGAUCUCCUUCAUUGAAACUCGAACAGGGCUUACAUUGUGUUGCUCCAACAACACCGAGCACCGUGCUGCCACCCUUGAAGAUGGACGACUUCAACAUGGGCUUUGGGGGUGGCCCAACCUAUGGCAGCGCGAGUGGCAAUGAGUGGAUGGAGUCCUUCAUCGGUGACCUACAACCAUGUGAAAGCACCGAGAGCUCUGCAUUGCCCCCCGUCAUGGUUGAUUCAUGGGAGAACGACUUCACCCUGCCCCGGGAGCUGCGAGUGCGAAUUAACAGCGAAAGUGAAGAUGCCUCUGCAAUGGCAGAAUUGCAGCGGACAGGGCUGCAACAAGAGGACUACGAAUUGCAGCAUCGACUUCGCACAUUGCAGCAGCUAGACCAAGCAGCGGCUGAUCCUUCCUUACAAGAAGAGCUAAGCUUUGGUGCUAGUGAUCACACCCAAUACGCAAAUAGGAAGGACGUUUCCGAAGCUGAGGAACGUUCUACAGAGAGCGACUACAGUGGUGGCUUAGACAAGGAUCACAGUGUACACCUCGUCCAUCUCCUCUUAGAAUGUGCUACUCAGAUUGAGAAGAAUCAACAUUUGGCGGUGUCUACCUUAUGCCGUCUUCGAGAUCUCUCAUCGCCCCUUGGUGAUCCUAUGCAACGAGUCGCUGCCUACUUUUGUGAUGCCUUGACAAAACGCAUUGCACGAGGGAAGGGGGAGGCAGAUCCCGGUGUGCUGGAAGCCCCCCACAACUCACCCAAGGCAUGCCAAGUGCUGAACGAGGCAUGUCCAUACAUGAAAUUCGCUCACUUGACUGCAAACCAAGCAAUUUUGGAGGCGGUGAAAGGGUGUGAGUCGGUGCAUAUUUUGGAUUUUGGGAUCACCCACGGAAUUCAGUGGGCAGCCUUGCUUCAAGCAUUUGCUUCCCUGCCGAAGAAGCAGCCACCUCCCAAGGUUAGGAUUACUGGAAUCAGUGUCAACAACCCAGCAUCUGAAUCUGCCUCUCUGUCUGUACUAGCGACGGGCAAAAGGCUUCAAUCCUUUGCAGAGCAUCUAAACGUCGAAUUUGAGUUUUGCCCUGUGAUCUUGGUGUCAAUGGAGGACUUUACCCCGGAGUCAAUCCAGCUCAACCCGGACGAGAAGACGGUUGCAAACUUCAUGCUACAACUGCAUGAGAUGCUGGAUGAGGAGGGAUCACCAUCCAUACUUAGGCUUCUCAGAUCAGUGAUUAGCCUCUCUCCCGCGCUCGUAACCCUCACAGAGCAUGAUGCCGCUCUGAACCGACCCGAGUUCAGGCCCAGAUUCAUGGACGCACUCCACUUCUACUGCGCCCUCUUCGAUUCCUUGGACUCCACCAUGCCUCGAGAUUGUCACGACCGGUUAAACGUCGAGAACAACUACUUCGCGAAACAAAUUGAGAACAUCGUAGCAAAUGAAGGCGUGGACAGGACAGAGCGUUAUGAGUGCACAGAAACGUGGAUCCGGAUCAUGGAAACGGUUGGUUUUACCCUUGUGCCGCUCAGUCACUAUGCCUAUAGUCAGGCCCAGCAGCUCUUGUGGCAAUUCUGCGACAGCUUUCGAUUGCAGAGGCCAUCUGGAUGCAUCGCCCUUGCAUGGCAGGACCGAUCUCUGAUCACGGUGUCGGCAUGGAAGUGCUCUUAGUCGCGACAUGAUGAGAAGGUGAUAAAAGGACGAUGAGGACGGCAGAUCUUGUGGCUUCAAAUGGGAAACUCAUUGUGUCAGAGUGACAGGGAUUGAUAUCUGCUUCGUUAAUGCUGGUGUCGAGAACCAGACAAGAACAAGAUCAUUUGUUCAAAGGAGGAUACUUGUGUUGCUCCAGAGAGAGAGGGGGCAUCUGGCCGAAGUUUCUUGUUGAACCUGUGACCUGCUGUCCAAAGACUGAACCUAAAGUGGGUGUUCAUUUUGCUCCGAAUCAGAGGACCUUUGCCCACAACGCAAUGAAGAUGCUGCUCUCCGGGCUUGAGUAGGACCAAAAUGCACUUGCAGCAAUCGGUUCGCAUCGCUGAUGACGGUAAGGCAGUUGUGAAGUUGAAAAAUCUUCGAGGAGCGCGAUUGUGAGAGAAGAAACAAGGCGAGUUCUAUGUCACAAUCGCUUUGCAAAAGGAAAUCUGACGGAAUUUUGUUAAAAAUUGGAAUUGAGGCGAGCAAUCAGCAACAUUGGCAUUGGGCAGGUAUGUUGCAAUAAUGUUUCGCGCGAUUUGGUGGUUACCUUCGUCAACGGCCACCCAGUUGGUAUGUUUCGUCGCUAGGUUUUGUUUUAAGUACGUUGUACAAAUUCGUAUAUUUAGUGAUAUCUCCUACGUGAUUGAAACUCAUCUUAAGGAAGUUUGAUUUUUGUACCACCUGCACACUAAGCUGCCUGAGCAUCUACUCCUCUGCAGCUACUGCUGUAUUUCCGAGCACCUGAAUGUAAGAUGAGCUUUCUUUCAAGUCGCAAACAAGAGAGCGAGCGGCCAGCCAGACCAGCGUUAUUCGUUGUCGGAGAUGGAUUCAACUUUGACCUCGAGCUCAUCCAGAGAGCCUUAAAGCACGAGUUCUGUCGACUACGGAGUCGUCGCCAUGAGAAUGGUCUAGAUUUUGAACAGACUGGGACGGUACAAGACUGGGAGCUUGUACAGGGUUCAGUGGUUUGCAGUGGCAACAUCAAGCUCCUCGAUGAUUGGCUGCCUGGUAUUCUAAUCCUCCGGACCACCAACCGCAGAUCCAUCCCCAACAUCACCACCCACACCCAAUCCUAGUCCUUAGAACCCGAUCACCGCACCGCGGCGCACUAGCAACAGGCGGCGUCAUUCCCGCCCCUUUGCACCCUGACAACUCUCCCGUCAUAACCAGCUGGGCAUGGCCUUUACCGCCGGCUCUCGCCACAGACCCAAGUUGUGCGUCAUUAUGAUUCGACUCAGUACUUGCAGCGCUGUAAAAGUUUGCCAGAUGAGCCGUGAAUGCUGCCUUUUUCCGGGACCGAUAAUUGACCCUCCUUUUUGGUGUUAGUUUCCAAGCUUUCAGUUCCUGGUUCUGAAGGAGGAAGACCACCUGUAACACUGCCUCUGUAGCACAUCUGUUGAACUAUCCUCAAGUUGGCUCGGUUGCUGCAGUCCUAGCUCACCAAUUACGGUACCAUCACUGGAGUUUAACAGAUGUAUUGUGUUCCUGGAAAAACGAUUUCAGUAAAUAUCUCGCUCGCUUCGGAGUUGGUUGAACACCACUCAAAGCCUUCCAAGGCGGUAACCUAUUCGAACUCGACACCAGGUUCAGCUAUUGAAUACAACGUGCUAGGGUCCGAUCGUAACGGGCGAUGUGAAGAAGGGCUUCGAAUCAGGCCCUGAAACAACUUCGCCGUUAAGCUAGCCAUUCCGCGUCGGUCCAUACACCGACGCCGCGGCGGCUUUGCUAGAUGGAUGAACGUAAUAGGAUGAAAAUAGUUGGAUGGCCUACCCCGUUAUUGCGCUUCGGAUGAUCCAUUCUGUUACCGCGGUUCGGAUGAAUGUGGUUGGAUUGUGAAAACUGUUGUUGCGAUUCGGAUGAAUG